This 233-nucleotide ribosomal RNA is filed under the name uncultured bacterium. RNAcentral describes it as "partial 16S ribosomal RNA". It matches the Rfam family "Bacterial small subunit ribosomal RNA", at positions 99 to 334 of the family's 1533-position model. The record is from RNAcentral.
CGAACGGGUGAGUAACGCGUGGGCAACCUGCCCCUCGCUCUGGGACAACUCCGGGAAACCGGGGCUAAUACCGGAUAUGAUCAGCUCGGGCAUCUGGGUUGGUGGAAAGUUUUUCGGCGAGGGAUGGGCCCGCGGCCUAUCAGCUUGUUGGUGGGGUGAAGGCCUACCAAGGCGACGAUCCGUAGCUGGUCUGAGAGGACGAUCAGCCACACUGGGACUGAGACACGGCCCAG